GGCAGUGUGGUUUAGUGGUUAGCACGUUCACAGCCACCUCCCGGGUUGUGGGUUCGAAUCCCGCCUCCGCCC
This is a non-coding RNA of Ameiurus melas (black bullhead), 72 nucleotides long. NCBI's taxonomy places the organism in Eukaryota, Metazoa, Chordata, Actinopteri, Siluriformes, Ictaluridae. The record is from the annotation of a GenBank genome assembly.